CCCUUAGAUGUUCUGGGCCGCACGCGCGCUACACUGAUGAAUUCAACGAGCUCCUAACCUAGGCCGAAGGGUCCGGGUAAUCUUUGAAAUUUCAUCGUGAUGGGGAUAGAUUAUUGCAAUUAUUAAUCUUCAACGAGGAAUUCCUAGUAAGCGCGAGUCAUCAGCUCGCGUUGAUUACGUCCCUGCCCUUUGUACACACCGCCCGUCGCUCCUACCGAUUGAAUGGUCCGGUGAAAUCUCGGGACGGCGGCUUGGUCGCUUGCGUCCGACUGCUGAAACUUGAUUAAACCAUAUCAUUUAGAGGAAGGUGAAGUCGUAACA
Molecule: ribosomal RNA, 321 nt
Filed under: uncultured eukaryote
Lineage: Eukaryota
Description: partial 18S ribosomal RNA
Rfam family: Eukaryotic small subunit ribosomal RNA
Source: RNAcentral